RNAcentral lists this ribosomal RNA (1328 nucleotides) under uncultured Eubacteriales bacterium. RNAcentral describes it as "uncultured Clostridiales bacterium 16S ribosomal RNA". It matches the Rfam family "Bacterial small subunit ribosomal RNA", at positions 28 to 1377 of the family's 1533-position model. The record is from RNAcentral. Lineage: Bacteria; Bacillati; Bacillota; Clostridia; Eubacteriales.
GACGAACGCUGGCGGCGUGCUUAAUACAUGCAAGUCGAACGAACGCAGCAAUGCGUUAGUGGCGGACGGGUGAGUAACGCGUGAGUAAUCUGCCUUUAACUGGGGAAUAGCCAUUGGAAACAGUGAUUAAUACCGCAUAUGACCACAACACGGCAUCGUGAAGGGGUGAAAGAUUUAUCGGUUAAAGAGGAGCUCGCGUACUAUUAGCUUGUUGGUGGGGUAAUGGCCUACCAAGGCGACGAUAGUUAGCCGGCCUGAGAGGGUGAACGGCCACACCGGAACUGAGACACGGUCCGGACUCCUACGGGAGGCAGCAGUAGGGAAUAUUGGGCAAUGGAGGCAACUCUGACCCAGCAACGCCGCGUGAAUGAAGAAGGUUCUCGGAUUGUAAAGUUCUUUUCUCAUAGAAGAAAGCAAUGACGGUAUAUGAGGAAUAAGCCCCGGCAAACUACGUGCCAGCAGCCGCGGUAAUACGUAGGGGGCAAGCGUUGUCCGGAAUGACUGGGCGUAAAGGGUGUGUAGGUUGUUGUGUGCGUCAAAUGUGAAAGCCCUGGGCUUAACCCAGGAACUGCGUUUGAUACGGCAUGACUAGAGUGUGGGAGAGGUUCAUGGAAUUCCCGGUGUAGCGGUAGAAUGCGUAGAUAUCGGGAGGAACAUCAGAGGCGAAGGCGGUGAACUGGACCAUAACUGACGCUGAAACACGAAAGCGUGGGGAGCAAACAGGAUUAGAUACCCUGGUAGUCCACGCCCUAAACGAUGAAUACUAGAUGUUGGUGGUAUCGACUCCAUCAGUAUCGUAGCUAACGCGAUAAGUAUUCCGCCUGUGUAGUACGGCCGCAAGGUUGAAACACAAAGAAAUUGACGGGGACCCGCACAAGCAGCGGAGCAUGUGGUUUAAUUCGAAGAUACCCGAAAAACCUUACCAAGACUUGACAUCCCGGGCAUAGCCGCGAAAUCGGCGAAAGGACCUCAAAAAUCCACCGGUGACAGAUGGUGCAUGGUUGUCGUCAGCUCGUGUCGUGAGAUGUUCGGUUAAGUCCGAUAACGAGCGCAACCCUUGUUAAUAGUUGCCAGCAUUCAGUUGGGCACUCUAUUGAGACUGCCGUAGAUAAUACGGAGGAAGGUGGGGAUGACGUCAAAUCAUCAUGCCUCUUACGUCUUGGGCUACACACGUGCUACAAUGGUCGCUACAAAGAGUCGCAAUCCGGUAACGGUGAGCCAAUCUCAAAAAAGCGAUCUCAAUUCAGAUUGAGGGCUGCAACCCGCCCUCAUGAAGUCGGAGUUGCUAGUAAUCCCGAAUCAGCAUGUCGGGGUGAAUGCGUUCCCGG